GACGAACGCUGGCGGCGUGCUUAACACAUGCGAGUCGAACGGUGAAGCUCCAGCUUGCUGGAGUGGAUCAGUGGCGAACGGGUGAGUAACACGUGAGCAACCUGCCCCAGACUCUGGAAUAAGCGCUGGAAACGGCGUCUAAUACUGGAUACGAGAUCAAGCCGCAUGGUUAUGGUCUGGAAAGUUUUUCGGUUUGGGAUGGGCUCGCGGCCUAUCAGCUUGUUGGUGAGGUAAUGGCUCACCAAGGCGACGACGGGUAGCCGGCCUGAGAGGGCGACCGGCCACACUGGGACUGAGACACGGCCCAGACUCCUACGGGAGGCAGCAGUGGGGAAUAUUGCACAAUGGGCGAAAGCCUGAUGCAGCGACGCCGCGUGAGGGAUGACGGCCUUCGGGUUGUAAACCUCUUUCAGCAGGGAAGAAGCGAAAGUGACGGUACCUGCAGAAGAAGCACCGGCUAACCACGUG
Molecule: ribosomal RNA, 468 nt
Filed under: uncultured bacterium
Lineage: Bacteria
Description: partial 16S ribosomal RNA
Rfam family: Bacterial small subunit ribosomal RNA
Source: RNAcentral